This 505-nucleotide ribosomal RNA is filed under the name uncultured bacterium. Its description in RNAcentral is "partial 16S ribosomal RNA". It matches the Rfam family "Bacterial small subunit ribosomal RNA", at positions 28 to 507 of the family's 1533-position model. The record is from RNAcentral.
GACGAACGCUGGCGGCGUGCCUAAUACAUGCAAGUAGAAUGCACAGUUUAUACCGUAGCUUGCUACACCAUAGACUGUGAGUUGCGAACGGGUGAGUAACGCGUAGGUAACCUGCCUGGUAGCGGGGGAUAACUAUUGGAAACGAUAGCUAAUACCGCAUAAUAUUAAUUAUUGCAUGAUAAUUGAUUGAAAGAUGCAACUGCAUCACUACCAGAUGGACCUGCGUUGUAUUAGCUAGUAGGUGAGGUAACGGCUCACCUAGGCGACGAUACAUAGCCGACCUGAGAGGGUGAUCGGCCACACUGGGACUGAGACACGGCCCAGACUCCUACGGGAGGCAGCAGUAGGGAAUCUUCGGCAAUGGACGAAAGUCUGACCGAGCAACGCCGCGUGAGUGAAGAAGGUUUUCGGAUCGUAAAGCUCUGUUGUAAGAGAAGAACGGGUGUGAGAGUGGAAAGUUCACACUGUGACGGUAUCUUACCAGAAAGGGACGGCUAACUACGUG